This 476-nucleotide ribosomal RNA is filed under the name uncultured bacterium. RNAcentral describes it as "partial 16S ribosomal RNA". It matches the Rfam family "Bacterial small subunit ribosomal RNA", at positions 28 to 507 of the family's 1533-position model. The record is from RNAcentral.
GACGAACGCUGGCGGCGUGCUUAAUACAUGCAAGUUGAGCGGUGAAGAUUGGUGCUUGCACCAAUUUGGAGAGCAGCGCACGGGUGAGUAACGCGUGGAGACUCUGCCUUUGAUCGGGGGACAACAUUUGGAAACGAAUGAUAAUAGCGCAUAACAACUUUAAACAUAAGUUUUAAGUUUGAGAGUUGCAAUUGCAUCAGUCACAGAUGAUCUCGCGGCGUAUUAGAUAGUUGGUGGGGUAGUGGCUUACCAAGGCGAUGAUGGGGAGCCGGCAUGAGAGGGUGACCGGCCACAUUGGGACUGCGAUACGGCCCAGACUCCUGCGGGAGGCAGCAGUGGGGAAGAUUGCACAAUGGGCGGAAGCCUGAUGCAGAAAAGACGCGGGCGGGAUGACGGCCUUCGGGUUGUACACCGCUUUCGACUGUGACGAAGCGUGAGUGACGGUAAUGGGUAAAGAAGCACCGGCUAACUACGUG